RNAcentral lists this ribosomal RNA (1501 nucleotides) under uncultured prokaryote. Its description in RNAcentral is "partial 16S ribosomal RNA". It matches the Rfam family "Bacterial small subunit ribosomal RNA". The record is from RNAcentral.
GAUCAUGGCUCAGAUUGAACGCUGGCGGCAUGCCUAACACAUGCAAGUCGAGCGGAAACGAUGGAAGCUUGCUUCUAGGCGUCGAGCGGCGGACGGGUGAGUAAUGCGCAGGAAUUUGCCCAGCAGUGGGGGAUAGCCCGGAGAAAUCCGGAUUAAUACCGCAUAUACCCUACGGGGGAAAGAGGGCCUCUCCUUGGAAGCUCUUGCUGUUGGAUGAGCCUGCGUCGGAUUAGCUAGUUGGUGAGGUAAAGGCUCACCAAGGCAACGAUCCGUAGCUGGUCUGAGAGGACGACCAGCCACACUGGAACUGAGACACGGUCCAGACUCCUACGGGAGGCAGCAGUGGGGAAUCUUGGACAAUGGGCGCAAGCCUGAUCCAGCCAUGCCGCGUGUGUGAAGAAGGCCUUAGGGUUGUAAAGCACUUUCAGUGGUGAAGAAAUGCUCAGGGUUAAUAACCCUCGAGUCUUGACGUUAACCACAGAAGAAGCACCGGCUAACUCCGUGCCAGCAGCCGCGGUAAUACGGAGGGUGCGAACGUUAAUCGGAAUUACUGGGCGUAAAGCGCACGUAGGCGGUUUGUUAAGUGGGAUGUGAAAGCCCCGGGCUCAACCUGGGAAUUGCAUUCCAAACUGGCAGGCUAGAGUACAGUAGAGGAAAGCGGAAUUCAGGGUGUAGCGGUGAAAUGCUUAGAUAUCCUGAGGAACACCAAUGGCGAAGGCAGCUUUCUGGCACAUGACUGACGCUGAGGUACGAAAGCGUGGGGAGCAAACAGGAUUAGAUACCCUGGUAGUCCACGCCGUAAACGAUGAGUGCUAGGUGCAGGGGGUGGAACCCCUUCUGUGCCGUAGCUAACGCAUUAAGUUGACCGCCUGGGGAGUACGCGCGCAAGCGUGAAACUCAAAGGAAUUGACGGGGGCCCGCACAAGCGGUGGAGCAUGUGGUUUAAUUCGAUGCAACGCGAAGAACCUUACCUACCCUUGACAUACAGAGAACUUUCCAGAGAUGGAUUGGUGCCUUCGUGAGCUCUGAUACAGGUGCUGCAUGGCUGUCGUCAGCUCGUGUCGUGAGAUGUUGGGUUAAGUCCCGCAACGAGCGCAACCCUUACCCGUAGUUGCCAGCGGAUCAUGCCGGGGACUCUACGGGGACUGCCGGUGAUAAGCCGGAGGAAGGUGAGGAUGACGUCAAGUCAUCAUGGCCCUUAUGUCCAGGGCGACACACGUGCUACAAUGGCCGGUACAAUGGGCUGCAAUCCCGCGAGGGGGAGCCAAUCCCUAAAAGCCGGUCUAAGUUCGGAUCGGAGUCUGCAACUCGACUCCGUGAAGCCGGAAUCGCUAGUAAUCGCGGAUCAGCCACGCCGCGGUGAAUACGUUCCCGGGCUUUGUACACACCGCCCGUCACGCCAUGGAAGCCGGGGGGACCCGAAGUCAGUGGCCCAACCUUCGGGAGGGAGCUGCCUAAGGUCAAUCCGGUGACUGGGGCGAAGUCGUAACAAGGUAGCCGU